RNAcentral lists this ribosomal RNA (433 nucleotides) under uncultured bacterium. Its description in RNAcentral is "bacterial SSU rRNA". It matches the Rfam family "Bacterial small subunit ribosomal RNA", at positions 29 to 507 of the family's 1533-position model. The record is from RNAcentral.
AACGAACGCUGGCGGCAGGCCUAACACAUGCAAGUCGAGCGCGCCCUUCGGGGUGAGCGGCGGACGGGUGAGUAACGCGUGGGAACGUACCCUUUGCUACGGAAUAGUCUCGGGAAACUGGGGGUAAUACCGUAUGAGCCCUUCGGGGGAAAGAUUUAUCGGCAAAGGAUCGGCCCGCGUUGGAUUAGGUAGUUGGUGGGGUAAUGGCCCACCAAGCCGACGAUCCAUAGCUGGUUUGAGAGGAUGAUCAGCCACACUGGGACUGAGACACGGCCCAGACUCCUACGGGAGGCAGCAGUGGGGAAUCUUAGACAAUGGGCGCAAGCCUGAUCUAGCCAUGCCGCGUGAGCGAUGAAGGCCUUAGGGUUGUAAAGCUCUUUCGUGGGGGAAGAUAAUGACUGUACCCCAAGAAGAAGCCCCGGCUAACUCCGUG